RNAcentral lists this ribosomal RNA (497 nucleotides) under uncultured bacterium. Its description in RNAcentral is "partial 16S ribosomal RNA". It matches the Rfam family "Bacterial small subunit ribosomal RNA", at positions 28 to 507 of the family's 1533-position model. The record is from RNAcentral.
GAUGAACGCUGGCGGCAUGCCUAAUACAUGCAAGUCGCGGGACAAGACGAGGGGUUUGCUCCAUUGACGUUAGCGACGGACGGGCGAGUAACAAAUGGAUAACCUACCUACAAGACAGGGCUAAAUUAGCGAAACAGGAGCUAAUACCGACUAAUAUAUUGCAAUGCAUGGUUCAAUAGUGAAAGACGGUUUUGCUGUCACUUAUAGAUGGAUGCGCGCCGCAUUAGCUAGUUGGUAAGGUAAGGGCAUACCAAGGCAACGAGGCGAAGCCGACCUGAGAGGGGGGGCGGCCACACCGGAACUGAGACGCGGUCCAGACCACUACGGGAGGCAGCGGUAGAGAAUCUUCCACAGUGGGCUAGAGCCUGGCGUGGCAACGCCGCGUGGGGGAUAAAGGGCUGCGGAUCUUAGUUCUCUGUUGUUUUUGAGGGGCAAUAGUGUAAGUAACGAUUCACGUCUUGACGGUACCGAAUCAAUAAGCCACGGCUAACUACGUG